GCAUUUGAGGGUGAUCUGGCUGGGACAUCUAUCACUGCAUUGAUCGACAGGAUUGAUUCUACUGAUCUGGUUGGUUAGGCAUGUGUCUGUCCCCUUUGUCCCUUACCACCCCAUGUGUGUUCCUCCCCAAAGCUGCACGCUUUGUCAAAGAGAACAAAGAGGAUGACCUUCCCAGAAUAGAGAAGGACCUGUCUUCGGCCAAGGGUAUAGGCGUAGCUGUGCUCCCCACUAGAACUUCCAAACAAGCUAAGUUUUUGAAAAGUGAGUCGAUUUUAUUUCAUUUUG
RNAcentral lists this small nuclear RNA (285 nucleotides) under Peromyscus maniculatus bairdii (prairie deer mouse). RNAcentral describes it as "7SK RNA (ENSPEMG00000004046.2)". It matches the Rfam family "7SK RNA", at positions 1 to 286 of the family's 331-position model. From Rfam's summary of the family: 7SK was discovered as an abundant small nuclear RNA in the mid-70s but a possible function has only recently been suggested. The record is from RNAcentral. Lineage: Eukaryota; Metazoa; Chordata; Mammalia; Rodentia; Cricetidae.